This is a small nuclear RNA of Antechinus flavipes (yellow-footed antechinus), 108 nucleotides long. The record is from RefSeq and is a predicted model, not a curated record. NCBI's taxonomy places the organism in Eukaryota, Metazoa, Chordata, Mammalia, Dasyuromorphia, Dasyuridae.
GUGCUUACUUCAGCAGCACAUAUACUAAAACUUGAAAUGAAACAGAGAAGAUUAGCAUGGCCCCUGUGCAAGGAUGACAUGCAAAUUCAUGAAGAGUUCUAUAUUUUA